This 355-nucleotide ribosomal RNA is filed under the name uncultured Geobacteraceae bacterium. Its description in RNAcentral is "partial 16S ribosomal RNA". It matches the Rfam family "Bacterial small subunit ribosomal RNA", at positions 486 to 836 of the family's 1533-position model. Lineage: Bacteria; Pseudomonadati; Thermodesulfobacteriota; Desulfuromonadia; Geobacterales; Geobacteraceae. The record is from RNAcentral.
GGAAGCACCGGCUAACUCCGUGCCAGCAGCCGCGGUAAUACGGGGGGUGCAAGCGUUGUUCGGAAUUAUUGGGCGUAAAGCGCGUGUAGGCGGUCUGAUUAGUCUGAUGUGAAAGCCCUGGGCUCAACCCAGGAAGUGCAUUGGAUACUGUCGGACUUGAAUACGGGAGAGGGUAGUGGAAUUCCUAGUGUAGGAGUGAAAUCCGUAGAUAUUAGGAGGAACACCGGUGGCGAAGGCGGCUACCUGGACCGAUAUUGACGCUGAGACGCGAAAGCGUGGGUAGCAAACAGGAUUAGAUACCCUGGUAGUMCACGCCGUAAACGAUGAGAMCUAGRUGWCRCGGRUMMYRKKAGAR